GGUGGGAGAUGGGGCCGCGCAGCGAGCGGAGAGGCCCCGCGGUUGCGACGCUGCUGUCACUGUGAGAACUGGAGCAACUCACUUCUCCCUGCUCCCUCCAUCCUUUGCUGUGGCUGUUUUGAGAGUCACCUCCGGUCCAUGGACUCUCCUGUACCAUGUACUUAGCUGGAUCUGAGGAGUCAUAGCAUCAUGCAGCACAGACCCAUUGCAGAAGCAGCAGGUCCAGCAGGUCCGACCUGAUGCUCACAUGCACCGCAAGCUCCGACUGUGUGCAGAGCUCGGGACUCAUGCUGGAAAUGGAGUGGAUUGCUGUGAGAGGAAUCUGCACAGUCAGCAGGCGGCCGCCCUUCCUUGCUGCAGAACAGCUCAGCUUUUGGGCAUCCCCACCGGGACACCCCAUCUGCUUUCCCUCCCCCUUCUUGCAGCCCAGCGUGCAUUUCAUCCCCUUUGCAGCCUUGUUGCCUUCCUGGCAGCACAGCCUGCAGUGGGGCUCCCCACGGCCACGGCUGUGGGCUGCAAACCCUGGCAAAGGUGCACGAGCAGAUGUGAUCCUGGCUGAUCCUGCUGCAAAUUGAGACUUCAUUUUCCCCUUUGACUGUAUG
Gallus gallus (chicken) is the source of this 602-nucleotide long non-coding RNA. RefSeq lists it as uncharacterized. The transcript has 3 exons. NCBI's taxonomy places the organism in Eukaryota, Metazoa, Chordata, Aves, Galliformes, Phasianidae. The record is from RefSeq and is a predicted model, not a curated record.